Molecule: transfer RNA, 85 nt
Filed under: Halovulum marinum
Lineage: Bacteria; Pseudomonadati; Pseudomonadota; Alphaproteobacteria; Rhodobacterales; Paracoccaceae
Description: Rhodobacteraceae bacterium 2CG4 tRNA-Leu
Rfam family: tRNA
About the family: Transfer RNA (tRNA) molecules are approximately 80 nucleotides in length. Their secondary structure includes four short double-helical elements and three loops (D, anti-codon, and T loops).
Source: RNAcentral
GCCCAGGUGGCGGAACAGGUAGACGCACCAUCUUGAGGGGGUGGCGCCGCAAGGCGUGCGGGUUCGAGUCCCGCUCUGGGCACCA